AAUAUGGCACAAUGGGCGAAAGCCUGAUCCAGCAACGCCGCGUGAGUGAUGAAGGCCUGAGUUUUGAAACGCUCUUUGACGAGGGAUAGUAAUGACAGUUCCUGGCGAAUAAGCUCCGGCUAACUCCGGUCCAGCAGCCGCGGUAAUACGGAGGGAGCCAGCGUUGUUCGGAAAUACUGGGCGUAAAGCGCACGUAGGCGGCAGCGUAAGUCAGAGGUGAAAUCCCGGGGCUCAACCCCGGAACUGCCCUUGAAACUGAAGUGCUAGAAGCUUGGAGAGGCGAGUGGAAUUCCGGGUGUAGCGGUGAAAUUCGUAGAUAUUCGGAAGAACACCAGUGGCGAAGGCGACUCACUGGACAAGUAUUGACGCUGAGGUGCGAAAGCGUGGGGAGCAAAC
RNAcentral lists this ribosomal RNA (396 nucleotides) under uncultured bacterium. RNAcentral's name for it is "partial 16S ribosomal RNA". It matches the Rfam family "Bacterial small subunit ribosomal RNA", at positions 360 to 773 of the family's 1533-position model. The record is from RNAcentral.